Molecule: long non-coding RNA, 3348 nt
Filed under: Olea europaea (common olive)
Lineage: Eukaryota; Viridiplantae; Streptophyta; Magnoliopsida; Lamiales; Oleaceae
Description: long non-coding RNA (OEUR_LNC009553)
Source: RNAcentral
CUCUUCUGCAUGUUUGAAUUAUAUUUGAUUCCGGAACAUUAGCAUUGCCAUGAACUUCCUUGUACAAUUGAAAGAAUGUUUUUUAUUAGGUCAAAUAUGUUGAAGUAGAAAGAUUGACACAUCAUGAAAAAGUGGGAAGGUGACUAAAAACAAAUGCUAAACUACUUUGUUGAAAUAUUGAGAAAAUAAAUAUUCCUUUAGCAGCUCACACAUGUCAUAACAUUUAUGAAAUGGAAUGCAACUAAGUUGUAUUUUAAUAGAUGUGGAUUUAGUUAAUUCAAUCCACCACUAAGUCUAUCGAGAGAAUUAUUAGAUAGAAAAGAAAUUCACUGCGACCCCUCAGACCAUGUAAACAAGAUAUCGUCACACUGCUGUAUUGUGCUCAAAAUAUCAAAAAAGAUAUAUAUCUCAAACUUCUCACUGAUCAUUUUCAGUAAAAGAUGUGUCAAACCUAAAGUAACUGGAUUAAUGUUUGUGACAAAGCCCUUUCCCAUCCUUCACAAUAUAUGCUUUGAACUUUGCUAACAUGAGAGAUGAAUUAGGUGCAAAAUAGUUGGUGAAAGUGAUUUCUCAGAGCAAGAAAUAUAUGAAAAAGAAGUAGAUGAAAUGAAAUGAUUAUGGAACUACCAUUGGGCCAUUGAUGUAAUUGAUGGUAGUAUGCUAAUGCGGUAAUUUCAGUUCUUUAACACAAUAAAUACCAGAUUUUUUUCUUUUUCGAAUUCUCCAAUUGGAAUAGUCAAGUUCGCCAAAUCAAUAACAAAAUUUCACAUGGAUGCAAAAGUCUCCCAAAUGACUCUUCGAUAAUUAAAAAAGGGAACCUUCUAUCAUUAGCUUUACUCUAUACAUUGAAGUGAUCAUAAAGCUUGAUAAAAACACAAAAUAUGACUAACAUAUAUACUGAUUUCCCAUCAUCAUGAUUUAGAGACCAAAUUAGAGUAUGUUUGGGGUGGCUUAUAAGUAAGAUUGUAAAUAUGAGAGAAACGGGCAAACCAUUUUUUUCUCAUACAUAUAUUUGCACAAGGUUAUCAAAGCUACGAAAGAGAACAGUGCAACAAAAAAAGAGGAUAUAUUACAAUCUAGAAAAAUCUUGACCAUGAUGGUGAACUUCUAGCAAAAAGCAUAUUAGAAGAAGAUGAUAAAAUCCAGAACGUUACAUUAAAAUCAAGUACGAUAAGAGCUAUUAGAAAAUAUACACAGCAAACUGGCAAUUCUGCCCAUUUAUUCCCUAUAAUUGAUAAUAAGAAACUAGGACGAAUAAUUCCUCCUCAGCCCAUGUCUCUUUUUUAACUACUAGAUCUAGAUGAUUGUGCCACUUUAAGAUCAUGUGCAGCAACAGAACUUUAGAACAUAGGCCAUAUCUUAACAUUAGGUAAAAAUAUCAAAGGUUUAACUAAAUUAUGUAGACGAGUACAUUUGCUUUAUUUAUGACGAAAAGUGUGCAACUGUCCUUAAAAGAAUAAUAGAAUCCAAUCUUAUGCUUUUCACAUGCAAGUAAUGACCCUUCAACCUAUUUAAACGAUGGAGUGUGUUGAAGACUAUUUAAAUGAUGUAUAUGUGGUAUUAUCUAACAAUAUAAGUUUUUAGAUCUAGUGUUUAAAUGGUGACUAAAGAAAACAAGAGGAAAUAAAACAACAUAGCUUAAUUGUGAUAUAUUAUUUAAACAAAUGACUGUCCAUAAAUAUAUUUAUUGUAGUUCUUUCUAAUAAAAGAGUCUCAAACUGUCAUUAUGAAUACGGUCAAACCUAUCAGUCAUGUAAAGUAACGCUGAAAAAAAAAACUAUCGUAACAUGAUAACCUCAUUUCAAUAUCUAUAUAAAGAAAUAAAGAACAUUUGAUUUGCAAGAACCUUUAUAUAGAUCGAAGAACCAUGUCUACCAAUCAAUUUAAGAACCAUAUGACAUUUUAUUAUCUAAAUCAUUGUCCACACAAGGGAAAAAAUUAAGUAAUGAAACUAGGGCAUUUAGUAUACAUUUGUUUAACUGAAAAACAAACAAUUUAAUCAUUUUUUUCUGCACUGUAAUUAGUCUAAUAAGAGGAUUGUGACAAGAUCCGCUAAAUUAUGAAUUGAUUUUUGUGUAAAACUCUAAUCUAAGUGUAUGCCAAACACGUUCUUUAAGUUGGCAACUGGACAAAAUUAACAAAUUACAACAGGAGAAAAAAAAUACAAAGUAAAACUUACAUUUCUACCAUGCCUCAGUGCAUUAUAAAGGAAUCAAUGACAUCUUUAAAACCAUUUUAAUUAUAGUACUCGCUCAAAAUGUCCUUUUGAAUGCUAGCUAUUGUGAAAACUUUUAUAUUUUGACGUAACUAUAACAAAUCAUUUAUUAUUGAUCGAACCAUUUAUAUCCACACAUUUUACGGAACCACAAAUACUACCCACUUAUCUAUUAUUGGUUCCUAUAAUUUAUUAAACGGUUUACAAGCACUUCUCAAACAAGUCAACUUUAUUUUUUACAUUGUGGAUUUAAAUAAUUUUGUGAAGUUUAGAGAGUUAACAACACAAUUCAUUUAUUUUAAUUGCAAAUAAAUUAUUCUAAUUCGUCAAAAUCUACUACGAAUAGCAGAGAUGAAUCCAUACAAAAACAAUUCCUAGAAUUCCUUAAGGGGAGAAAUAAUUGCAAAUGAAACAUUCUAAUCAAUCAUAUUAUGAAAACCAAAUACUAAUCACAAAAAUGUCACCACAAAAUCCAAUUGUAAGAAUUCAUGAUGCAAAUAGAAAUUGUUGUAUAAUUAAUCAGAAUCAAAUAUGAAUAGAAAAAAUGUAUCCACGCAAAACCCAAUAACUACCAUACAUAAAAGGAAAGAGAAAAUUACAGACAAAAUACUCAAGUUAAUCAAGUCAAAUAUGAGAAAAAGCAUCUACAACAAACCCAAUUGAUAGAAUUCAUAAGGGGAAACAUAAAAUUCCUAUCAAAAUACUCAAGUUAGUUAAAAUCAACUACUAAUCACAAAGAUGUAUUGUCGAGCAAAAUGGGGAACAUGGACUCGACUGCACAAAGGGCUUUAAAAUAACUUUGUAGGAGAUCACGGCGUGCGGCAACAAAUAGAAGGGGAUAAAACCUUUUUAUAGUAGCAAAUUAACAUUUACUUACCAAAAAAUCUUUUUUUAAUCAUUCUCUUCGUCGUUCUCUUUCUCGAUGAUGAAAACUUCAAACCUCUACAAAAGAAAAUAAAAACAAAAGAUUAAAAUUUUUGGGAUGAAACCUCUUGCUAAAUUAAGCGGUAUAUACGAAAAAUAGAAAAUAGAGAGUCAAGUAAUUGUGUAGGAGAAGUGCAAAGAAGAACGAUAGUUUGUGUGUAAAAAUAGAGAAAGAGUAAGAAUAAAUGGGGGAGAGAAAGAAGUCUGUG